AGAGUUUGAUCAUGGCUCAGAUUGAACGCUGGCGGCAGGCCUAACACAUGCAAGUCGAGCGGAAACGAGUUAUCUGAACCUUCGGGGAACGAUAACGGCGUCGAGCGGCGGACGGGUGAGUAAUGCCUAGGAAAUUGCCCUGAUGUGGGGGAUAACCAUUGGAAACGAUGGCUAAUACCGCAUAAUACCUACGGGUCAAAGAGGGGGACCUUCGGGCCUCUCGCGUCAGGAUAUGCCUAGGUGGGAUUAGCUAGUUGGUGAGGUAAUGGCUCACCAAGGCGACGAUCCCUAGCUGGUCUGAGAGGAUGAUCAGCCACACUGGAACUGAGACACGGUCCAGACUCCUACGGGAGGCAGCAGUGGGGAAUAUUGCACAAUGGGCGCAAGCCUGAUGCAGCCAUGCCGCGUGUGUGAAGAAGGCCUUCGGGUUGUAAAGCACUUUCAGUCGUGAGGAAGGUAGUGUAGUUAAUAGCUGCAUUAUUUGACGUUAGCGACAGAAGAAGCACCGGCUAACUCCGUGCCAGCAGCCGCGGUAAUA
Molecule: ribosomal RNA, 538 nt
Filed under: uncultured bacterium
Lineage: Bacteria
Description: bacterial SSU rRNA
Rfam family: Bacterial small subunit ribosomal RNA
Source: RNAcentral